This 322-nucleotide ribosomal RNA is filed under the name Psathyrella sp. RNAcentral's name for it is "eukaryotic LSU rRNA". It matches the Rfam family "Eukaryotic large subunit ribosomal RNA", at positions 595 to 919 of the family's 3401-position model. Lineage: Eukaryota; Fungi; Basidiomycota; Agaricomycetes; Agaricales; Psathyrellaceae. The record is from RNAcentral.
GGGGCCGAGUCCCGCGUUUGUGCUUAGGAUGCUGGCAUAAUGUCUUUAAUCGACCCGUCUUGAAACACGGACCAAGGAGUCUAACUUGCCGCGAGUGUUUUGGGUGGAAAACCCGAGCGCGUAAUGAAAGUGAAAGUUGGGGUGCACCUCGUGGGGAGCACCAUCGCCCGGUCCAGACGUUUUGGGAUGGAUUUGCGUAAGAGCGUGUAUGUUGGGACCCGAAAGAUGGUGAACUAUGCCUGAAUAGGGUGAAGCCAGAGGAAACUCUGGUGGAGGCUCGCAGCGGUUCUGACGUGCAAAUCGAUCGUCAAAUUUGGGUAUA